Oncorhynchus tshawytscha (Chinook salmon) is the source of this 2523-nucleotide long non-coding RNA. The record is from Ensembl. Lineage: Eukaryota; Metazoa; Chordata; Actinopteri; Salmoniformes; Salmonidae.
AAAGUGUUGGCACCUCUCUGUUGGCAGUCCAGUCCAGUAGAUGUCACUGCAGCCAAAGGAGCAGGAGACAAACUGACCCUCUGACCUUCCUAGAGCCCCCUGCCGUUUCACUCAUCAAGCCACUGAACCCUACAGGAGGAAUGAAAUCGGCGAUACAUCGAGGUGUGGGGAGAGGACAAUCUUCUCAGAGAAUCAUGGACUUUCCAGUCAUGGCACACAUCGUCUUGAAGAUGUACCUAUAGUAUCCUUUAUUGUUGGUUGCAAUUAAAGCAUCCCUGUGAAGUAAUGUAAAAUACGUUUGCCAUUCAAAAAUCUUUGGAAAGACGGGAUGGUCAACCAUUCACAAAAAAAUGACUAAGAGGAACUGGCUGGGUUUAUGGUAAGUAGCCCAAUAUUGAUCAGUUGUAUUUGGACAAUAAUGUGGCAUUUUAUCAAAUCAAUGGUGUUGAGAGACUCGUCAGGUGCCAUAAGUAAGUUCUUCAUUGUGUUCUCCACUCAUUUGUCCUAUGUGGUGGAGGUGGUGUAAAACGUUCACCCAAAACUAGUAGGUCUUCACCUGCGAGCACCUCAACACUGAUAAGUAGAAGCGCUUCAGUGCCACCAAGGAGACGACGUUUCUGCUGUACUUCCCAGAUAAAGGCCGCCAUCACCCAACGAUCCUCCUCGGCAGCCCAGCUAGGAGGUGCGAAGGAGGAGUAGAGAUCGUUGCGUAGCUGAGCAUGACACCGGACUAUACGGGCAUUCAGUUUCUACAGAAGCAUUUACCGUCCUGUGAAAGUUCACUUAGUGUUCACUCGUCUUGCCUGAACCACUCGUUUUAUCACAGGAGUAGAAGUGUCUUGAUUUACACAAAUAAAUUGUGUGUGUGGUUUUUAGAUCAGAUUGAAAUUCAAAGACGGUGGAAAUAGUGAGAUGUUGUGGAGAGACGAUACCUUUUUUUCCCCAAACACAGUCUUGACAUUCCAAAGUUCAUGAGCUAUUCAAGGCUAUAUUAGCUGUAUUUUCUAACUGUUUGACCUGAGUCAUACAGGACCCAUCAGGAAGGCGUGUGCUCCAUCCACUCAUUGUCUCAUGAGGGUUUUCAGUCCAGAGAUGGCGCUGCCAUAGAAGUACCUCUGUUGUUACACACUCUUGCCCUUGAUCAGCUGCAAAAGGCAGCAGACAGUGGAGCAGAUCAUUUUCCCCUGAGACAAUUUGGUGACCUCCCUCUGGAGUCCCAGCAGCGCUAUCAGAGAGAGUGGAGAGGAAAAUUGCUGGUUUGCAUCGCUGUUCUCUUACGGGAAGGAGGAAUUUCAAUGGGGUCAGCGUGGAGUCCCCAUGGAGACAGACGGCGGCCGGGUGGCUCGGACUCAGGAGGCGGUGAGACUCGACGCCCCUCUGAGUGGCGGAGCCGUGAUGGCUCUCAGUAUCUCUCGUCAUGUCCCUGGCAGCUUUGACACAGACUGUAAUCUGUGCUGGACUUUUUCUCUGAUUACACACGUCUCUGUCUCGGGGAGCAAAACAAGGACUCUGAACUGCCGCUGGCAACCAGGCUCACCCUGGGCUUUCAGCCUUCGAGAGGACUGCACUCUGCCUCUAAGGGACCAAGGGAAUCAGCUGUUCUCCUGAGACACACCUCUGUGUUACCAUUGGACCCUGGUGAUCCAGUCCUAAUAGCAUAUCAAGCACCCGGCAGAGGGGAGCAGGUGAUGGCGUCCGCCAUAAGGAGGAUACUUUGGUGCUGUCCAACAAGCCGUCUGUUAUCAGAGGGAAAUGUGUCCGUUCAGAGGUGAGGGGGGGGGCUUUGUGCUCUCAACCAGGCCACCUCUCUGCCUUUGUCGUGGUAACAAGCUCAGCUCAGGCUCCAUUGAAGCGAGAAAUUGUAAACUCUCCAGAGAGGCCCAGUGGAGAGAUAAGGGUUUAGUGUUUGUUGGCUGUGUGCUUGGGGAUGAAUCAGAUAAGCUCGAGUCCCACGCCAGAAUGGGAGUGAUGAUACCUCCCCUUCUGUGGGGUGUUAUGUUUAAUCCCUUUGCCAGUGUAUUCACUUGCAAAUCCUCCUGUCACCAUUAAUAUGUAUUAACACUCCUCAGACAGUGUUCAAUACAGAUUUAUCAGACUCUUAUUUUCUUUCCUCUUGUUUGCACUGUCGUCUCACCCUCCUCUGUAACCGUGGAGCUUUCUUUUCAGUGCUAAUAUCGAGGCGACAUGCUUUUGCUGUGAGAGACCAGAUAUUACUGUGCACUCUCUCUCUCUCUAUGGGGUUUCUUUCAACAGUCCCUUCUUUCCUUUAAGUUCGGGUUUCUGUUCUGUAGAGGACUUAAACUCCGAACAUACUUCAUUGCAGUCCUGUGUGAAUAUGUGGGAUCCCUAAAUCUCUGAAAGUAUAGCAUUGACUCACUCAUCAAUGUUUGAUUUGUUGAUUAUAAGGCUCAGUCACUUCACACAGAGCUAAAAACCUGUCUUUUGUAUUCCUCUCGGGUUGAUCAAUUUCCACUGUGUAAUUAAGAAUAGCGGUGCAUUAAUCUAUUUGAUCCAAUACAAUAA